GUUCUCCGCUGAGGAGGAGCGGGGCAGAGGAGGGAGGCAGCGGGUGAGAGUUCAGAGUUCAGCAGCAGCAGCCCGAGCCCAUGAUUCCCAUAUGCCCUGUAGUUUCUUUCACCUAUGUGCCCAGCCGGCUGGGGGAAGAUGCCAAAAUGGCGACCGGCAACUACUUUGGAUUCACCCACAGCGGGGCGGCGGCGGCGGCGGCUGCGGCCCAAUAUAGCCAGCAGCCAGCUUCGGGUGUAGCCUAUUCUCAUCCAACUACAGUUGCUAGCUACACUGUCCAUCAGGCUCCAGUAGCUGCUCACACAGUUACUGCUGCCUAUGCACCAGCAGCCGCCACAGUUGCAGUUGCCAGGCCUGCUCCAGUAGCUGUUGCAGCUGCUGCAACAGCUGCUGCUUAUGGAGGCUACCCCACUGCACACACGGCAACUGACUAUGGUUAUACUCAGAGGCAACAAGAAGCACCACCACCACCACCCCGAUUCAUACUCAUAUGUAAGGUCCACAGCUCCUGCUGUAGCUUAUGAUAGUAAGCAAUACUACCAACAACCAACAGCAACUGCUGCUGCUGUAGCUGCCGCUGCCCAACCUCAGCCUUCUGUUGCUGAAACUUACUAUCAGACAGCCCCCAAAGCAGGUUACAGCCAAGGUGCAACUCAGUAUACUCAAGCCCAGCAAACUCGACAAGUGACAGCCAUAAAACCAGCCACACCAAGUCCAGCUACCACUACUUUCUCCAUCUAUCCUGUAUCCUCCACCGUACAGCCAGUAGCAGCUGCGGCUACUGUGGUGCCAUCCUAUACUCAGAGUGCUACUUACAGUACCACAGCAGUUACUUAUUCUGGUACGUCUUAUUCAGGUUAUGAAGCAGCAGUGUAUUCAGCUGCAUCUUCCUACUAUCAACAGCAGCAGCAGCAACAGAAGCAGGCAGCAGCAGCAGCUGCUGCUGCUGCUGCAACAGCUGCCUGGACAGGGACCACCUUUACUAAAAAAGCACCAUUCCAAAAUAAACAACUGAAACCAAAACAGCCUCCCAAACCGCCACAGAUUCACUAUUGUGAUGUUUGUAAGAUCAGCUGUGCUGGACCACAGGUACUUAUGUUGUAUGUUUUACCUUGAGUCUUCAGUGGUUAUUAAGU
Molecule: small RNA, 1136 nt
Filed under: Pongo abelii (Sumatran orangutan)
Lineage: Eukaryota; Metazoa; Chordata; Mammalia; Primates; Hominidae
Description: retained intron
Source: RNAcentral